This 450-nucleotide ribosomal RNA is filed under the name uncultured Glomeromycotina. RNAcentral describes it as "SSU rRNA". It matches the Rfam family "Eukaryotic small subunit ribosomal RNA", at positions 569 to 1023 of the family's 1831-position model. Lineage: Eukaryota; Fungi; Glomeromycota. The record is from RNAcentral.
AGCAGCCGCGGUAAUUCCAGCUCCAAUAGCGUAUAUUAAAGUUGUUGCAGUUAAAAAGCUCGUAGUUGAAUUUCGGGGUCAGUAGGUUGGUCGUGCCACUGGUAUGCACUGGCCUCACUGAUUCCUCCCUCUUGUAGAACCGUAAUGCCAUUAAGUUGGUGUUGCGGGGAAACAGGACUGUUACUUUGAAAAAAUUAGAGUGUUUAAAGCAGGCUAACGCUUGAAUACAUUAGCAUGGAAUAAUGAAAUAGGACGAUCGAUCCUAUUUUGUUGGUUUCUAGGAUUGACGUAAUGAUUAAUAGGGAUAGUUGGGGGCAUUAGUAUUCAAUUGUCAGAGGUGAAAUUCUUGGAUUUAUUGAAGACUAACUACUGCGAAAGCAUUUGCCAAGGAUGUUUUCAUUAAUCAAGAACGAAAGUUAGGGGAUCGAAGACGAUCAGAUACCGUCGUAG